GACGAACGCUGGCGGCGUGCCUAAUACAUGCAAGUAGAACGCUGAAGAGAGGAGCUUGCUCUUCUUGGAUGAGUUGCGAACGGGUGAGUAACGCGUAGGUAACCUGCCUUGUAGCGGGGGAUAACUAUUGGAAACGAUAGCUAAUACCGCAUAACAAUGGAUGACACAUGUCAUUUAUUUGAAAGGGGCAAUUGCUCCACUACAAGAUGGACCUGCGUUGUAUUAGCUAGUAGGUGAGGUAAUGGCUCACCUAGGCGACGAUACAUAGCCGACCUGAGAGGGUGAUCGGCCACACUGGGACUGAGACACGGCCCAGACUCCUACGGGAGGCAGCAGUAGGGAAUCCUCGGCAAUGGGGGCAACCCUGACCGAGCAACGCCGCGUGAGUGAAGAAGGUUUUCGGAUCGUAAAGCUCUGUUGUAAGUCAAGAACGGGUGUGAGAGUGGAAAGUUCACACUGUGACGGUAGCUUACCAGAAAGAGACGGCUAACUACGUG
RNAcentral lists this ribosomal RNA (497 nucleotides) under uncultured bacterium. RNAcentral's name for it is "partial 16S ribosomal RNA". It matches the Rfam family "Bacterial small subunit ribosomal RNA", at positions 28 to 507 of the family's 1533-position model. The record is from RNAcentral.